GCGCCCCUUGCGGGUUCGCUCACAUGCUUAAGGUCGCACGAAGGUUUCGGCCUUAGUGUGACGGACGGGUGAGUACACGGCGUAGGAAUCUAUCCAUGGGUGGGGGAUAACUCUGGGAAUACUGGAGCUAAUACCGUCAUGAUACCUGAGGGUCAAAGGCGCAAGUCGCACUGUGGAGGAGCCUGCGUUUGAUUAGCUUGUUGGUGGGGUAAUGGCCUACCAAGGCGAUGAUCAAUGUAGCUGGUCUGUAGCCCAGGAUGAUCAGCCACACUGAGGACUUGACGACACGGCCCAGACUCCUACGGGAGGUCAGCAGUGGGGAAUAUUGGACAAUGGGGGCCCAACCCUGAUCGCAGCUAAUGCCGCGUGUGUGAAGAAGGUUUUCGGAUUGUAACCCAGCAUCUUUCGACAGGAGCUGACGAUAGCCAUGACGGUACCCGUAGAAGAAGGUCCCUUGCGGCUAAUGCCCUUCGCUGCACAGCAGCCGCGGUAAUACGAAGGGGUGCUAGCGUUGCUGCGGAAUGACUGGGCGUAAAGGGCGUGCUAGGCGGUUUGUACAGUCAGAUGUGAAAUCCCCGGAGCUUCAACCUGGGAGCUGCAUUUGAUACGUGCAGACUAGAGUGCUGAGAGAGGGUUGUGGAAUUCCACAGUGUAGAGGUGAAAUUACGUAGAUAUUGGGAAGAACACCGGUGGCGAAGGCGGACAACCUGGCUCAUAACUGACGCUGAGUGCGCGAAAGCGCUGGGGAGCAAACAGGAUUAGAUACCCUGGUAGUCCACGCUGUAAACGAUGUGUGCUAGAUGUUGGGUAACUUAGUUAUUCAGUGUCGC
This 830-nucleotide ribosomal RNA is filed under the name Lactiplantibacillus plantarum. RNAcentral describes it as "bacterial SSU rRNA". It matches the Rfam family "Bacterial small subunit ribosomal RNA", at positions 30 to 849 of the family's 1533-position model. The record is from RNAcentral. Lineage: Bacteria; Bacillati; Bacillota; Bacilli; Lactobacillales; Lactobacillaceae.